RNAcentral lists this long non-coding RNA (176 nucleotides) under Mus musculus (house mouse). RNAcentral describes it as "predicted gene 28376". The record is from RNAcentral. Lineage: Eukaryota; Metazoa; Chordata; Mammalia; Rodentia; Muridae.
ACUGAACGAUUGUUGGGAAUUGAGCUGCCGACUAAAAGAAGGGACAGUGGGGAGAACCAGGACAGUUAAAAAGGUGAAGAUUUGGAAUCAGCACUUUAUAAAAUAUCAGCAUUGUCAAGCAAGUCCAGAGGAAAAACCUCAGGUUUCCGUGGUAGUGGCAUCCACGUGAUCUUCCA